This is an RNA transcript of Halichondria panicea, 3203 nucleotides long. RefSeq lists it as uncharacterized. The transcript has 11 exons. The record is from RefSeq and is a predicted model, not a curated record. NCBI's taxonomy places the organism in Eukaryota, Metazoa, Porifera, Demospongiae, Suberitida, Halichondriidae.
GAUACAAGGAGCUACCCCAAUGUGGCAAACACAGAAAAAAUCACUAAGUGAACAUCAGGAUAGGGGACAUCAAGAAUUGUGCCGAAAAUGUUCGUUAGGAGUAACCAUUUUUCUCCUGGCAUCUGUUGCAGUGGGUUGCAUCAUUUUUUCAGUGUUGCUGGCAUUUCAGCAUGAGAUCUCUUCUGGUCCACAGCUUAGUCAUCGUGGUGAUACGGUUUUUCUCCAGAGUAUAAGUCGAUUCUAUCAUUCUUCCAUUACCACCUCCACAUGUGACCAAAGAGGUGACUCUCCUCACAUUGAUAGAAUCUUUAUCGUUCCUGAAAAUAAUCUCACCAUGCACCACACAAAUCACUCUUUAAACUCUGCUCAGAUCGAUCAACAAUUCUCAUCCGCUGUAAGUGGUCUCAUAGACAACUUGUAUCUGCUAGAAGGAAGUGAUCUUAGCUACAAAAUAUGCGUAGGAAGUAUAGACAGUGGUAGUCUACAAGGUGAUCUAUUCGUGUUCACCAAUGACUUCAAUUUCAUUGAAUACAAAGAAUCUCCCGAACUUGGUGAACAAUUAUCGAUUAUUUCAAAAAGUUUCGAAAUUGGAAGGGACAACAGUACCAACUGUGUUCAAUUGGUAUUCAAAGCACCUAAAUCUUCGUACUAUUUUGUGGCUACAAGGACACCUGCUUCAAUAUUCUACACUUUCCAAUACACACUGCACAUUAACUAUUAUGAUCACAGCGACUAUCAAGUAGCAUGCUCCAUCUAUGAGGAAGAGCCUUGUGAGAUUACACUACCAGGAUCUAUAUUUUCAACUGAAAAAUAUGUUCUUCUUGCAUAUGUAAGACCGAAUGUCGAGCUAUCAUCUUCCACAAAUCAUCUGUGUGUUACUGCUAACCGCUCGGACAGUGUCUACCUUAUCAUUGGUAUGGCUACAUCAAUUGCAGCAUUGGCACUGCUUGGAACUGUUGUGAUAAUUAUUGUGGUGGUAGUUGGCAUAAGGCGUAGGAAUAGAAGAGGAUACGCUAUCAUACAAAGCUCUCCACCGUCCUACAACUCUCACUAUGGAAAAUUGUAUGGCUGAAUACGGCACGUAUAUAAAACUUUUAUAGAACAAAUUUAUUCAUUGAUUUUGUGUAUGGAUACUAGAUUGAAACUGCGGCUAAGGUUUCAGUAUGCCCUUGUUAUACAUGUUAUUGUAAGUGCACGAUGGCAAAGGUCAAGGUUGUGGCAUAAUAUGGAUUCUAUUCCAUUCCAUUGGAUGCAAAAUGGCCUCCCCUGCUCAUGAGUUAGCUGACUUUACAAGCCCGAGAGUGCUCAUCACUGUCAGAGGAUGGCCUGAGCAAGUGUGCCCAGUGACCAAUGAGCAUCUGAGCACACUCCUCACUGCAUUGCAGCAGAGUUUGCCCAACAACGUUGUCACUCUACAAGCAAGUGUUAGCAACAGCACUAAAUCUGCCACUGAGAAUUACUUCUGUGUGUCUGCACCAUGUCUGGCUAACACAAACAAGAGUGACAUUGGUGUGAGGCGCCCCUCCAUUGUAAUGGAUGUGACCGUGUGGGCCGAGGUGAACAAUAGCAAUAGACCACUGUUCAUACAGAGCAUCAAGAAUGCUUGGACUACGUUCCUUAAUAGCGAGUCUGAAACAAUGGAUUUUCUCAUUCAAGUACAGCAAGCUGCGAUAGUUCGAGACAGUACACAAAGUCAUACCAAUCCAACUGUUUCCUUGCCAACCACAAUGAACAGUUAUAUAGUUAAUCGAUCGAAGUCAACCGAGGUGUAAUAAAUAGAUCUAUAUAUAAAAUUAUUUAUGUACAUUAUUUUUGCUUCCUUUUAUGAAAAUCAAUGAUUAUCAGUAUUGAAUCUAACUUCCUGUGUUUAUACAGUGAUAUUUUUAUUGUCAGGCUUUAGACUUUGGCAAUAGUUCAAGGAUCAUGGCUUCCAAACCACCCGGUUCACCUCCCAAACUGACGGACGGAAACCUGCUCAAUAGUGGAAAGAAUGAGUUGCUUAUAAAGGUCAGCUACUCUGAGGAGUUUGGAACAGUGGCUGCCUGUAAACUGGACGAGUUUCUAUUGGCAGUGCAAAGUAUUCAAGAACUCUGGGAUGUUCGUUGCACUGUGGGGUCUCGGAUUCUGGAAAAGCCACAGUCAGAGGGUACAGACAGUGUGCAGGCUGAGAGCAGUACUGGUACUGCAGUGGCCAACGACCUUGAGGUAACCAGGUACUACUGCAAGACUGCACUCUCUUAUAAUGGGAGCUACUUUCAGUUGAUUUGCCGAUACAAAGAAGAAGAAAUACACCUUAGCUAACCUUGGAAUCCCACAAGAAGCUAGCCAGCCAGCUUGUAUAAGUUCCCUAACUGCUUUUGUUGAUCAAUGUUUCAGCGCUUGUCUCGUGUAUUGUAUUGUAAAAUUUGAUUAUUUUGUAUUUUUGUGUUUGAUUUGCGGCAUUCUUACACAUAUAUUUUCAUUUUUGCCGAUUGCCAGCAAAAAUAUACGGCCUACUCUGCUGCUUAAAGCGGCUGCUGCUCGAUAUAAAGUGGACUAAGCGGUUCCAAAAUGUGUCCAGUUUUGUCAAAAAAUCCACAAUUAUCAAUGACGUAUCGCAUUAUCUACACAUACCCAAGAGCUGCGUAGAGCCACUAAUUUGGGGAAUUCCCCAUUAAUCGCAAUGUACCAGCAAUGUAAAGUGAGUGUAUAUGGCUGCAACUUUCAGAACCUCCCCCACUGGGUCAUGCAGAUUACUGGAGAAGUAGUGUCUCUUGGCGUCAUCAUUAUUUUUCUCCACCCCUAGAGAAAAAGUAGGUCAGCAAACCUCACUGGGAGACGUUCCAGAAACUUCUUGGUGUCGUUCCCCUGCAGUGAUGUCCAUUCGUAAUGUCCAGAAGCUUUGCCAUCUGGACCCCUUGCUUCCCAUACCCUGAACGUGAUACCACAGUCUUUAACGAUCGUCUGUAGUGUUUGUAGGAAAAACUCAAGGCGGUACUCUGUUUCAUCAACAGUGAGUAGUGGGUGUGAAAUGAUGUCGUUCAACUCCUUCAAUACCUCAGAUAGUCCUGAACUAAUUGUUUCAUACGACUCUUCGGCUUUUAGGCCAGCAAAAGUAUGAUUGCCUGUAUGAAUGUCAAUAUAAAAAUAUUUUCACCACUUUCUCGUUUAAUAUUUUUAUUGUUAAGCUUACCCAUGCCUGAUAAAACAUUGUCUUGAAUUUC